CCACAAGUCCUGGGGGAGGUCUAUUCUAUGAAAGCCCAGAGCCUCAACCUAUGUGUAGCAGCCUGGGUCAUCUUGGGCUCUUUGGUGCCGGUCGAUCUCCCCGCUGUCUCUGGACUGUCUGUCAGCCGUUGUGGACACCCCUCUUCUCUCAUGGACCCGUAGUAAGCCAUAGGACAAAGGCUGAGGGGUUGGCAUGGGCAUUGCCCAGGUACAGGGGCUCCUGGAAUGUUCCUCCCUGGAGACCUGAGAUCCCCCAAAAUAGCAGCAGUUCAUCAGGGGGUAGAUUUUCCCCUCCUGGGAAACAGAUGGAAUUGAAAGACUGGGAAUUCACUGUUGUCCUGAAGCAACAUCCACUGGGUCCAUGAGUUCUCUUGUUGAAGACACGACCUGUCCUAACUACUGAAUGAGACCAGGUAGUAUCUGCA
Molecule: non-coding RNA, 425 nt
Organism: Heterocephalus glaber (naked mole-rat)
Lineage: Eukaryota; Metazoa; Chordata; Mammalia; Rodentia; Bathyergidae
Source: RefSeq, a predicted model, not a curated record